GUGUGAGCGGGGGGUCUUCUGACCUUGUGCGAUUGAGUGAGCCGAUGUCGGAGUAGCUCGUUGGCGGGGGGAAAGCCCCCCCCGGCGACAAUCCCCAUCUGGGCUGAGAGGAUGAUCUCCCACACUGUGACUGAGACACGGUCCCCACACCUACGGGAGGGGGCACUGGGGAAUAUUGGACAAUGGGGGCAAGCCUGAUCCCCCCAUACCCCGUGGGUGAAAAAAGCCUUCUGGUUGUAAAACCCUUUUGUUGGGAAAAAAAUCCCCCCGGGUAAUACCUGGGUGGGAUGACAGUGCCCCAAGAAUAUACACCGGCUAACUUCUUGCCCCCACCCGCGGUAAUACAAAAGGGGCGAGCGUUUCUCUCAAUUACUGGGCGUAAAGCGUGCGUAGGUGGGUGUGUAAAUCUGUUGUGUAAACCCUGUGCUCUCCCUGUGAACUGUGCAGUAGACUGGACAACUCUAGUGUGUGAUAGAGUAUCGGAGAUCUCGGUGUGUCACUGAGAUGCGUAGAGAUCUCGAGGAACAUCUAUGUCGAAAGCGCCUAUCUGUACCCACACUGACACUGAGGCGCGAGAGCGUGUGGAGAGCACACGAUAAUAUACACUGUGAGUCCACACGCUAUACGAUACGCACAGUAUGUGGGGUGCACUAUGUCGCGCACUAUCUAAGCUCACACGUUAUGUUCUCCGCCUGUG
Molecule: ribosomal RNA, 697 nt
Filed under: Stenotrophomonas sp. 100
Lineage: Bacteria; Pseudomonadati; Pseudomonadota; Gammaproteobacteria; Lysobacterales; Lysobacteraceae
Description: partial 16S ribosomal RNA
Rfam family: Bacterial small subunit ribosomal RNA
Source: RNAcentral